Molecule: ribosomal RNA, 358 nt
Filed under: Halalkalibacter oceani
Lineage: Bacteria; Bacillati; Bacillota; Bacilli; Caryophanales; Bacillaceae
Description: bacterial SSU rRNA
Rfam family: Bacterial small subunit ribosomal RNA
Source: RNAcentral
UUCAUGGAGAGUUUGAUCCUGGCUCAGGACGAACGCUGGCGGCGUGCCUAAUACAUGCAAGUCGAGCGGGUGAACCUGACAGAUUCCUUCGGGAUGACGUCAGUGGAUCCAGCGGCGAACGGGUGAGUAACACGUGGGCAACCUGCCCCUCAGACUGGGAUAACAUCGAGAAAUCGGUGCUAAUACCGGAUAAUUUUCGGGAUCGCAUGAUCCCGUUAUAAAAGAUGGCUCCGGCUAUCACUGGGGGAUGGGCCCGCGGCGCAUUAGCUAGUUGGUGAGGUAGAGGCUCACCAAGGCGACGAUGCGUAGCCGACCUGAGAGGGUGAUCGGCCACACUGGGACUGAGACACGGCCCAGA